This is a non-coding RNA of Acanthosepion pharaonis, 95 nucleotides long. NCBI's taxonomy places the organism in Eukaryota, Metazoa, Mollusca, Cephalopoda, Sepiida, Sepiidae. The record is from the annotation of a GenBank genome assembly.
UUACGGUCAUAUAGCGUUGAAACACCGGUUCCCGUACGAUCACCGAAGUUAAGCAGCAACGAGACCGAUCAGUACCUUAAUGGGUGAUCGUUUGG